This 577-nucleotide ribosomal RNA is filed under the name Triticum aestivum (bread wheat). Its description in RNAcentral is "partial small subunit ribosomal RNA". Lineage: Eukaryota; Viridiplantae; Streptophyta; Magnoliopsida; Poales; Poaceae. The record is from RNAcentral.
CACAAUCAGUACAUCCAUAUAAAAAAUAGUUCUAGCAUAUAUCAGCAGCACCACAUACAUCAGCAGCACCACAUACAUCAUACAGCACCAGCAGUUCAUAACAUUAUCCAUCAGCGGCACCACAUAACAAAUCUGGAUUAAAAAUCAAACAAGCCGCUCACCUUGCCGGCCUUGCUCAUGGCCACGGACUAAGGAGGGGAGGGAAACGAACGGGGUUCCAUCUUGUCGGACUGGGUCGCGGCCGGAGUGGGGCACCGACCACCGGAGUAGGGCACCGACGGGACCGACACGAGCUGCUCCUGGCCACUUGGGAAGGUAGGGGUCAUGCCCGAGGUUGGAGAAGUGACGGAAGAUGGGCUCCUACCCUCCGGUCAUGUCACCGGAGCUAGCCGAGGCGCUGAGCAUACGCGUCAGGGACUGGUGGCGGCGGCUGGAACGGGAACCCUAGCCUGUGUGGGAGCGAGUCGGUUUGACCACUUGUGUUUGAGUUCGUUGAGCGGCUUGAUUUGGGAGAGAGGGCGAAGGAGGAUACCAAACACGGGCGGACACCUCUUGUCUCACUGUGCAGUGGGUCCAC